GGGGAAGUACUGAUCAACAGCACCUUCGCCAAUAUUGCCUACACUUCCUCGAGCAACAAUUUCAGCACCUUUGUCUAGGGCAUCAUUUACUAGGUAUUGAAGCCUUUCGGAAUGCUCUUGCAUGCAUAUGGCUCCCAUGUCAUACUUGCCGGACAAAGGAGGUCCAGCAGUAACCGAUUUCACAAUUUUGACAACUUCAGCAACAAAAGAAGAGUAAACAUCCUUGUGAACAUAAAAGCG
This 240-nucleotide unclassified non-coding RNA is filed under the name Hevea brasiliensis (rubber tree). Lineage: Eukaryota; Viridiplantae; Streptophyta; Magnoliopsida; Malpighiales; Euphorbiaceae. The record is from RNAcentral.